AUGUACCCUAUGAACACGGCCAAAUGGACCUCCCAGAUGACGGCGGUGAAGCCACCCACAGUCGAGGACGUAUUCUACAUGGUGGGACUUCUUCGGUCGGCUCUAUCCGCCGAUGAACUAGAGCACCUACAGAGGGAGAACCAAUCGGUGUUGGCAUUUUGUGACAAGGAGGGCAUCGAGUGCAAGCACUAUCUGCCACACUACACAUCACAAGAUGGAUGGCGGCGACAUUUUGGGGCCAAGUGGAGCAACAUCGCUCAGCUCAAGAACAAAUAUGAUCCCCACAUGAUAAUGUCACGGGGGCAGAGAAUUUUCCCCUUGCCAACUGUGCCAGCGGCAAGCAUGGCGACCACAUAG
This 357-nucleotide ribosomal RNA is filed under the name Triticum aestivum (bread wheat). RNAcentral's name for it is "partial small subunit ribosomal RNA". The record is from RNAcentral. Lineage: Eukaryota; Viridiplantae; Streptophyta; Magnoliopsida; Poales; Poaceae.